AGAGAGUUGCUGAGAAGGAAGCAGAGACACAGAAAAAGAUAGCGAUUAGUGAAGCUGAAAGAAAUGCUCAUGUUAGUAAGAUUCAGAUGGAACAGAAGUUGAUGGAAAAAGAUAGUGCAAGGAAGCAAGAGGAAAUUGCAAAUUCAAUGUACCUAGCUCGUGAAAAGAGCCUGUCAGAUGCAGCUUACUACCGGUGAAUUUUCUAAUCUUAUCUCCUGUAUGGUUAUGUCAGAGAGCACGUAAGGAUGAGGCAUAAAGGUCAAUGACCGGUGAAUUCUCUUUAACUUCUUAUCUCCUGUAUAGUUUAUGUGAGAGAGCGCCUAAGGAUAUUGCCUAAUGGUCAAUUAAUGAAGUGGAUCAAAACCACGAGAGACCACCAAGGUCAAAUCUAAGCGGAAACAAAAAACUCGUUGGGCAAAGUUGCGUAGUAUCUGGCUAGUGGGAGGUACUAGGUAGCGGGUACCAUAGUUGAGGUCACGUACACUGACAUGGAUACUAUCUGUCGGAGAGUAGAUUUUUUCUUCCUAUUGAUUAGUUUACUGACUAACCUUAUCUGGGAUUUUUCAGAACAAUGAAAGAAGCAGAAGCAAACAAGCUGAAGCUUACUCCAGAAUUUCUUGAGCUGCGAUUCAUUGAAGCUAUAGCCAACAACUCCAAGAUCUUCUUCGGCAACAAGGCACGGCUCAUUAUCUUAUAAGAUUUAUCUCCACUAAUCCCCUUUCUUGUGUUUGUAGUACUUUGUGCUUACAAAAUAUGAUUUCAGGUGCCCAACAUGGUUCUUGACCAAAGGCUACUUGGAAACUUUUUGCAAGAUGGUGUACCGCACCAGGAGUCUUAGGGGGGUAUACUGUUUAGGCUCUGUCGUUGAAAGCUUCGAAGUAUAUUUUUUCUGGUACAUCACACGGAUAAUGAUACAAUGUGUUGGUUUAUUUGUAUGUUCUAUUCUGUACUACUCAGCGUCAAGUUUAUACCGCUCUUUUGACAGGGAAACUCUGCUACGUUCUUGAUAUGCUAUUUGCUAAUUUUGCUUGUGUCACUCCACGUA
RNAcentral lists this long non-coding RNA (1045 nucleotides) under Nicotiana benthamiana. RNAcentral describes it as "long non-coding RNA (NBEN_LNC037680)". The record is from RNAcentral. Lineage: Eukaryota; Viridiplantae; Streptophyta; Magnoliopsida; Solanales; Solanaceae.